RNAcentral lists this ribosomal RNA (692 nucleotides) under Backusella recurva. RNAcentral's name for it is "eukaryotic LSU rRNA". It matches the Rfam family "Eukaryotic large subunit ribosomal RNA", at positions 50 to 648 of the family's 3401-position model. Lineage: Eukaryota; Fungi; Mucoromycota; Mucoromycetes; Mucorales; Backusellaceae. The record is from RNAcentral.
GCGGAGGAAAAGAAAAUAACAAUGAUUUCCCUAGUAACGGCGAGUGAAGAGGAAAAAGCUCAAAGUUGGAAUCCGGUUGCCUUAGGUAAUUGGAGUUGUAAACUGGAGAGGCGUUUUCCAGGCAAACCAAGCAAAUAAGUCCUUUGGAACAGGGCAUCAUAGAGGGUGAGAAUCCCGUCUUUGGCUUGAGUAUUGUCUUUUGUGAUACGCUUUCAAAGAGUCAGGUUGUUUGGGAAUGCAGCCUAAAUUGGGUGGUAAAUCUCACCUAAAGCUAAAUAUUGGCGAGAGACCGAUAGCGAACAAGUACCGUGAGGGAAAGAUGAAAAGAACUUUGAAAAGAGAGUUAAACAGUAUGUGAAAUUGUUGAAAGGGAACCGUUUGGAGCCAGACUGGCUGCUCUAUAAUCAAUCUCUGCUUCGGUAGGGAUGCACUUGUAGGGCUUUGGCCUGCCAGCAGCAAUUUUUUCUGAAGGAAAAAACUAGAAGGAAUGUGGCCCCUCGGGGUGUUAUAGCCUUUUAGAAAAUACUUUGGAAGGGAUUGAGGACUGCAGCAGAUGCUUUUGGCGAAAUAUAUAGGUGCUUGUAUUGAGGAAGUGUAGAAUUUCUGCUUCGGGUGGUGCUACGCUCUAAUGUGCAACUCGCUUAGACUAUUUUCUAUCUGCUUAGGUUGUUGGCUUAAUGACUCUAAAUGAC